ACUCAAAGGAAUUGACGGGGGCUCACACAAGCGGUGGAGCAUGUGGCUUAAUUCGAGGCUACGCGAAGAACCUUAUCCUAGGCUUGACAUGUUCGAAAGAGGCAGCAAGUACCCUGCGGAAACGUUAGGGGAACGGUAUCCAGUCCGGAAGCUGCUACAGGUGCUGCAUGGCUGUCGUCAGCUCGUGUCGUGAGAUGUCGGGUUAAGUCCCAUAACGAGCGAAACCCUUGCCCUUAGUUGCCAGCGAGUAAUGUCGGGGACUCUAGGGGGACUGCCGGUGUUAAACCGGAGGAAGGUGGGGAUGACGUCAAGUCCUCAUGGCCUUUAUGCCUAGGGCUGCACACGUGCUACAAUGGUGCAUACAAAGGGACGCAAACCCGCGAGGGGGAGCAAAUCCCAAAAAAUGCACCUCAGUUCAGAUCGAAGGCUGCAACUCGCCUUCGUGAAGUUGGAAUCGCUAGUAAUCGCAGGUCAGCAACACUGCGGUGAAUGUGUUCCUGAGCCUUGCACACACCGCCCGU
RNAcentral lists this ribosomal RNA (521 nucleotides) under uncultured bacterium. RNAcentral describes it as "partial 16S ribosomal RNA". It matches the Rfam family "Bacterial small subunit ribosomal RNA", at positions 899 to 1397 of the family's 1533-position model. The record is from RNAcentral.